RNAcentral lists this transfer RNA (77 nucleotides) under Bacteroidota bacterium. RNAcentral describes it as "Bacteroidetes bacterium (soil metagenome) tRNA-Met". It matches the Rfam family "tRNA". Rfam says of the family: Transfer RNA (tRNA) molecules are approximately 80 nucleotides in length. Their secondary structure includes four short double-helical elements and three loops (D, anti-codon, and T loops). Further hydrogen bonds mediate the characteristic L-shaped molecular structure. tRNAs have two regions of fundamental functional importance: the anti-codon, which is responsible for specific mRNA codon recognition, and the 3' end, to which the tRNAs corresponding amino acid is attached (by aminoacyl-tRNA synthetases). tRNAs cope with the degeneracy of the genetic code in two manners: having more than one tRNA (with a specific anti-codon) for a particular amino acid; and 'wobble' base-pairing, i.e. permitting non-standard base-pairing at the 3rd anti-codon position. The record is from RNAcentral. RNAcentral also lists the same sequence under 2 other names. Lineage: Bacteria; Pseudomonadati; Bacteroidota.
GGCGAGGUAGCUCAGUUGGUUAGAGCGCAGGAUUCAUAACCCUGAGGUCCCGGGUUCAAAUCCCGGUUUCGCUACCA